GUUAAUGUUGUUAAUGGGUUCUUUCUAUUGACAUGAUUGGAGUAACAAUUGUUAAUGUUGUUAAUGGGUUCUUGACUCUGUUACUAGACUCUAUUGUUAAUGUUGAAAGGUCCUCAGAAUCGUACAAAGGUAAGUCAUAUAAUUCCAUGGUUGAAGCCCUAUCCAGAAAUGCUACAAAAUUUAUGGCUUCAAUUGCAUCACUUACUGCAAUUGUGUCUUCUUUCACUGUUGAAACUAUGGGUGUUUACGAUUGAAACUGUUGUUAGCAAUUUUCUAUUUACGUUUUCUAAUAUUGCAUUAAUGUUUCUUGUUAUUACUGCUCUAGGAUUUAUCUCUUUGUUUUAGCAGAAUCUAGAUCAUCCCUUCUAUCAAAGGUUUUAUAAUAGAUAAAUAUGCUUCAGUAAUAUUCCGUAUUUAUGGAUAAACACUUACUUAUGAUUCAUUGACAU
RNAcentral lists this long non-coding RNA (449 nucleotides) under Capsicum annuum. Its description in RNAcentral is "long non-coding RNA (CANN_LNC012636)". Lineage: Eukaryota; Viridiplantae; Streptophyta; Magnoliopsida; Solanales; Solanaceae. The record is from RNAcentral.